AGGGAAAGAGGGCGGUAGGCCUACACAUGCAAGUCGAGCGGAUGAAGGGAGCUUGCUCCUGGAUUCAGCGGCGGACGGGUGAGUAAUGCCUAGGAAUCUGCCUGGUAGUGGGGGAUAACGUCCGGAAACGGGCGCUAAUACCGCAUACGUCCUGAGGGAGAAAGUGGGGGAUCUUCGGACCUCACGCUAUCAGAUGAGCCUAGGUCGGAUUAGCUAGUUGGUGGGGUAAAGGCCUACCAAGGCGACGAUCCGUAACUGGUCUGAGAGGAUGAUCAGUCACACUGGAACUGAGACACGGUCCAGACUCCUACGGGAGGCAGCAGUGGGGAAUAUUGGACAAUGGGCGAAAGCCUGAUCCAGCCAUGCCGCGUGUGUGAAGAAGGUCUUCGGAUUGUAAAGCACUUUAAGUUGGGAGGAAGGGCAGUAAGUUAAUACCUUGCUGUUUUGACGUUACCAACAGAAUAAGCACCGGCUAACUUCGUG
RNAcentral lists this ribosomal RNA (483 nucleotides) under uncultured bacterium. RNAcentral's name for it is "partial 16S ribosomal RNA". It matches the Rfam family "Bacterial small subunit ribosomal RNA", at positions 38 to 507 of the family's 1533-position model. The record is from RNAcentral.